AGCGGGGCCGGGGCCGGGCCGUGGCGCCGCCUGGCGGCAGCUGUGCACGGGAUCUCAAACUCAACUUGAAAAACUGGAAUAUGCAUUGACUAGGGAGCCAUACCUUAAGGCUUUCACUACUGGACAAAUAACAAAUCCCUAAGAAUAAUGACAUCAUCAUAGCUGAAGCUCAUAACUCAGAUGUAUCCUGGAAGAUCCUGGGAGGAACAUGAAUAUGGGUCAGGGUCAUCUAGUGCCACUGAGCUCACCUGGACUGCCAUCUAGUUAUCCUGCCUGAGACAUCUACCUUUGGAUAAGAUCUCCUGGAGCUUUGUGAUGUUCCUUCUAGUGCAUCAUGGCAUAGAGAGACAUGUCUGGAAGACUUCAAACCUAGACCAAAUGCAUAACCUCUAUGAUGCAAAUUACAUUUAAGCAGCUCUGGGGACUGAAUAUGGAUUGGUGCUUUGAUUUUAGAAAGAAAUACCGGAACAAAUAUGAUGUACUGCAACCAGAUGGUGACUAUCAGGGAAAAAGACUAAUCACAGGUUAAAGAAGUGCAAUUAAGGGAUAAUUAUUACUUUUUUUAAUCUAUGAAAUUUUCUGCAUGUGUAUGAAAACUUGUUGAAGUUGUAGAUGAUUACAAGGAAAAACACAUCAAAACAAUUUUGUCAAUUCGAUGAAUUUAUUGUUUUUCAUUAUUUCAGUGUUUUAUAAAGAUUCUACAUGGUUAACAUUUCAUGAUAAUUAGGGAGGUGUCAUAAUGCACCUUCUGAAUCUCUAUUAAUAGCAGGUGAGAAAAAAAUGUAUUUAAAAAAAUUAUGUAUAUCAAUGACCACUCCAUAAUUCUGUCCACUUCCAUCCAUCAGCUUCUAAUUGUGUCCUGCUGCUUGUGUAUUCAAGUCUUUCACAUUAUGUCUGGUUUUUUUUUUUGAGACCAGUGUUUAUUCAUAUGGCUAACUGCAAAGGUAGAUGGGUAAAAUGGAAAAGAAAGGUGGGAUCGUGUUUUCCUUUUCUGUCUCCCUUUCUCUCUCUCUCUCUUUUACUCUCCCCCUCUUUUCUAAACAAGCUAAGAGUUUUUAUAAUUCAUCACCUGGCUGACAGAUGAGUUCUGCUGGAGAAUAUUAGAAAAUGUCUCAAAUCUCAUAUAUAUGCUAAUGGUAUGCUGAGACUGGUUGGUGGUAUGCCGGAGUUUUUAAUCUGUCUCGACCAGUGUGGAAAGUGGAGGAGACAAGUCAUUGCACUCGACAAUUUAUGAUCAAACAACUGAAUUGUAAAGGAAGAAGGACAUGCAGAAAAGGAGAGUAAUUUUCUGAUUUAACAGCGUUGUUACUACAAAUAAAGAAAUCUUGAUUUUGACUGCACUCGACAUUAAAUGAGUUUCCUGUGUCCUGCUCUGAAUUUUUCAUUUCCAGAUUUGUAUAAAGCACCCUGCUUAGAUACAAGUGACAGAUAAGGAGACGAUUGCAUAUGGAAAUCAAAUGUGUAUAAUAAAGCCAUCUUCUGUUUAUUAAAUAAACACAUGUAGAGGAC
RNAcentral lists this long non-coding RNA (1509 nucleotides) under Gallus gallus (chicken). Its description in RNAcentral is "lncRNA (ENSGALG00010009055.1)". Lineage: Eukaryota; Metazoa; Chordata; Aves; Galliformes; Phasianidae. The record is from RNAcentral.